Molecule: long non-coding RNA, 20632 nt
Filed under: Erythranthe guttata (spotted monkey flower)
Lineage: Eukaryota; Viridiplantae; Streptophyta; Magnoliopsida; Lamiales; Phrymaceae
Description: long non-coding RNA (EGUT_LNC003408)
Source: RNAcentral
UCUAAUCUCCGCAUAAUCCCGAUUGUUGGCAUGGGCGGCAUUGGUAAGACUACUCUUGCUAGAAAUGCUUACCUUAAGUUUAUGAAGCACUUUGAUAUUCGAGCUUGGGUUACAGUAUCUCAAAACUACAAUGUGCGAGAAAUUCUUGUAGAAAUUCUUCUUUGUAUAAACAAAGCUGAGAGCCGAGAAACCUUGAGUGCGAAGAGUGAAGGUGAAUUAGGUGUAAAAGUACACCAAAGUUUAUGGGGAAGGAGAUAUUUGAUUGUAAUGGAUGAUGUUUGGAGUGUUGAGGUAUGGGAUAAAGUGAAUCUCUUCUUUCCAGACAAUGGUGAAAGAAGCAGAAUAAUGAUAACCACUAGGCUAUCAAACGUUGCUUCGAUUGGCUCUGGUGGCGUUGUGAUGGAUUUCUUAAAUGAGGAUAAGAGUUGGGAUCUACUGUGCAGAUAUGUAUUUGAAGAAGAAGACGAUUGCUCUCCUGAAUUGGAGGAAAUAGGAAAGAAGAUUGCCAAAAAUUGCGAAGGACUUCCUUUGUCAAUAGUUGUGAUUGGAGGACACCUAGCGAAGUCUAAGCGCACAAAAGAACAUUGGGAAUAUAUUUCAGAAAACUUAAAAAAAAUUGUAAAUUCGGAAGACGAUGAGCGUUGCUUAAAAGUAUUGCAAUUGAGUUAUAACCAUUUGCCGGUACAUCUAAAGCCAUGUUUUCUUUAUAUGGGAGCUUUUCCUGAAGACAAUAAAAUCCAUGUCUCCUGGCUUGUGAAACUAUGGGUUUCUGAAGGUUUUUUGAAACCAAUUAAUGGGAAAAGCUUGGAAGUGGUUUCCAGAGAGUAUUUAGAGGAGCUUUGUGACAGAAAUCUCAUUAGAGUUCAUCAAAGAGGGUCUAAAGGGAGAAUAAAAUAUUGCAACAUCCAUGAUCUCGUGAGGGAAUUAUGCUUGAGAGAAGCGGAGAAAGAGAAGUUCCUUUACGUCAGAAUACCGCAUGACCUUAACAAUGUUCCACAAGGCGUAAUAAAUACCCAACGCCGCAUUGGUAUUCAUCAAAGCACAUCGGAGCCUGAAGCUCUCUAUGCAUUGCAAUCUAUGCCUCUUGUUCGUUCUUUGAUUUGCGAAUUUAAGGGAGUUUUACCAACACUUGAUUUUAGAUUGUUGAGAGUGCUGAAAGCAGUUGAUAAGCAUUUAUAUUCCGAGGAGAAAAGACAAUACAAAUAUCCCAUAGAAGUUGUCUUUCGGCUAUUUAACUCGAGGUUCAUUGCUAUCCGGGUUGACUCGCGUCAAAAUCCCCAGUUUCCUUCUUCGGUCAAUCUCCUUUGGAAUCUACAGACUUUAAUUGUAAAGGAUACCGUUGGCGCUGUUGCACCAUCUGAAAUUUGGAAGAUGACUCAACUUAGGCAUGUUGAGUUCGAUGAACUUGAAAUGCCUGAUCCUCCUCUCGGCGGGCAAGAUGGCGAGUUUGUUUUGGGGAACUUACAGAGGCUCUCUGUAAUAACGAGUUUCAAAUGUGGAGAAGAGGUGGUUACGAGGAUCCCCAACAUCGAGAAAUUAAAAAUACGUUACGAUAAGGAAUUUGAGGGAUGUUCAAGUUAUUGUCUCGACAAUCUUUGUCGUCUACGUAAACUCGAAUCCUUUGGCUGCUCCUUUUUGUCCCAAAGUGUGCCAAACCGGGACGAUAUGUUGCAGAAUUUCAUCCUCCCGAAUUCCCUCAAGAAGUUGACUUUGUGGAGGACCAAAUUCUACUGGGAAGACAUGAAUACAAAUAUAGGUUUGUUACCCAAUCUUCAAGUCCUCAAACUGAGUGCAGAUGCUUGUGUAGGGACCGAGUGGGAAACGGUUGAAGGGCAAUUCUGCAACCUUAGAUACUUGUUAAUCAACUCGUGCAGUGAGCUGGAAUGGUGGACGACAGAUAGCUCCCACUUUCCAUGCCUCGAGCAUCUUGUCCUUCAACAAUUAGAUAAGUUGAAUGAGAUCCCUUCAUGUAUUGGAGAAAUACCUACUCUUCAAUCGAUCGAGUUGAAUCUGUGUCACGACGAUGCUGUCAUUUCUGCUAAAAGAAUAUUUGAUGAGCAAGAGGAUCUUAGCCUUCGAGUUCGAGUUGUCACGCAGAAUCGACAAUUUGAGAGCCUGGCUGGUCCCAACUUUCAAGUUGAAACUUGGUGAGAACUCAAUCUUCACAACAUGGAUAUAUAUAUGUGUGUGUGUGUGUGUGUGUGUGUGUGUGUGUGUAAUUUUAUUUCACUUUUGAUUGUUUUCUUUAACGUUGUACUGCCUUGCAGCAAUAUACUCUGAACAUACACACAGUGCAUAAAUCGAAGAAUGGAGGUCCGAGAGCAGAUUGCUUGUCGCGUUAUUGAACUUAGAUUGACAAUUUGGUAUGUUGGAAUUUACAAUUCAUUGUUUUAAUGUUGAAGAUACCUUCUUUCUGUCAUUAGUUUGGCGUAAGAGUUAUAGCCUCCGGUUAAUUUAUUAGAAGCAUUUGUGUGAGCUUUGUAAACAAUUUCUACUUUGGUUUUCUUUCAUGUAAUUUCUUUUUGGUCCGCCGGUGGAAUUUGGAGUUUCUUCAAAUGUUCGUGUAAUAUUAUUAUACGUAAAUAAAUUGAGUUGAGACUCGAGUUUGUAAUAUUUUGCCUUUAUUUAAAAAUCUUAAAGGAUUUUGAUUCUCUAGUGCGAAGACUUCUCCAACGCAACACUCAAAACUCAAAAUAUUUUUCUUAGGAAGUAAAAGUAAAAUUGUACUAAAUGAUGAGUUGGCACUUUAGAGAUUAUCAAGAUGACUCUCCAAUUUCAAAGUGUCGUCUUAAAAAUCUCAAAAAUCACAAGUGCCACCUCAUUGCCACGUCAUAUUUCAAAAUAUCUUAUGUGGCACUCUAAAUAUUAGAGGUGGAGUUUACCAUCGAAGAUGCUCUAAGCCACAUACACUUGGUUGGAGAAAAGUGUUUACACAGUACGUGGGCAGUUUUGAUUUUAUUUGUAUACAAAGAUGAUUAUCGUCCAAUAAAAGUCACUUUUAAAAUAUGGUUUUCAUUUUUUUUUUGUCAUCCCCAUAAACAGUAGUUAAAUCAUUAGUUCCGAUUCAUAGGUGGCGAUCACAAACAUGUAAGUAAAAGUAAAAGUUGGUGAUUGUGAGUAAAAUUAUUUAUUAUCGGGAAAAAUACAGUCUUUGUGCCUCAAGUUUGCACCGAUUUCACAUUUGGUUCUCAUGUUCACAAAAAACACAUUUGGUCAUUUAUGUUGCAAAAAUUCAACACUUUUAGUCAUUUUCAUCAAUUUUCCGUUAAAACUAAUAGAAACAAGCAUGUGUCCAUCACUGUCUAACUAACGGACUAACGGUAAAUUGACAGAAAUGACAAAAAAUGUUAAAUUAUUGGAAUAUGAGGGACCAAAUGAGUUUUUUUGUGAACAUGGGGAACCGAAUUUGAAAUCGAUGUAAACUUGAAGUAUGAAAACUAUAAUUUCCCCAUUUAUAAUCAAUUCUAAAAAAGCUUUUGCAAACACCAAUUCGAACAUCAAUACCUUAUGGGCGAGGGCACACCGGAUAAAUUGACUUGAUUGAAGCCUAAUUGUGGCCCAAGAAAGAGUGGACAAAGAAUUGUAUUCCAACUAUAUAUAUGUGAUCACCAUUUGAUCCGAUGAUGACCUUCAUUCGAUACUAUCACUUUACGUAAUUUCAACUUUCAAGAAAGUGUGGUUCGAUUAAAAAUCACGAAUUUAUAAUGGCUAACUAUGUCUGACAUGUAAGCUCGACCUAGCAAUUGUCGGCAAAGUUUAAAUAUGGGUCAACUAAUUACUGACACAUGCUCACUUGCUCCAACUGCUAAAUUAUCAUCUAUAGGAAAAGAAAAAGAAAACAUAAAUUGUGUGUGUUUGUUUGGAUAGUUUCAUAAUACACACUACAACUUCAUUUUUAUUCUGAGUUAUUAUGAACAUUACAGUAGAAUGAUAAAUAUUUUAAAUAGUGUCAUUUGAGAAUUAUCUUUUAAAUCAUCUGGUCAAGUGAAAAUAAUUUUAUGGAAAUACAAUCUCAUUUUCGUAACCUCGACCCGAAAAUUAAAAAAAAUUAUAGAAUUUGCGAGGAAAUAAUGUUCAUCUUUGAUAUCAAUAAUGCAUAUGGCCUCAACCGUUUGGGACUGUAUUUUCAUUCCGAUUUUCGAAGUUUCGAUUUUUUAUUCUUCCAAAUUUAUUUGGAACGGAAUUGAAGUGGUAUAUAAAAUUGCCGAAAAUUCCGUUUUCUGAUUCGAUUUUAAUUAUGAAUAUUUCUAUGAUUUUACGAAAUAUAUAGUAUACUUUAUGAUAUUUGGAAUUCCAAAAUAUAACUUAUGUUAUAUGAAAAAUAUGAAUAGCGAAAUGUCAAGUAAAUUAAAAUCUUAGAAAAAAUUAAUUGGUAGUGAUACAUUUUAUGUUGCAUUUUUCCUUAUAAGAAAAUCUAUGUUUUAUUAUAAAUUUUAUGUUGCAUUUUUCCUUGUAAGAAAAUCUAUGUUUCAAUUUGUUGUUCAUACAUUUGUUUUUACUAGUAUUUUCACUUGUGGUUGGGUGCUGCCGUUUGAACGUGACCGGCGUUCGUUUUUCCGAGGGCUGAAAGAAUUUGUGGGAAAUUCGUGGGAUCAGACUUGGGAUAUUUUGGGUUUCGAUGAGGUGCUGGUGCUCAAGCACAGUCGAAGACGGUGGCAAGACAAGUGGAAAGCUGAAGCCGAUGGUGUCGGUUCGACGAGGGCGUCGAACACCGUUGGUGGGGGAGGUCUGUUACCCCCUUAAUCGGUGAUAUCGGUAAUGACUCGAGUGUGGCCGAGUCAUGACCGAUAAAUGGUGCCAAGUGGGGAUUGGCACAAGGCAGCCACACAAUCGGCCAAUGAGUGGUCGAGAGAUCGGCAAGCAUUCGGGGUGUUUGACCGAGAAAGCAAGGAUCGGCUUGAUUCAAGUGGGAACGGUGAUCGAUAUUACUUGUGGCUGGCACGGGCGUUGCUCGGCAGCAAAGUCGGACAAGCGUGGGCAGUAUUCGGCAUGCGGCCGAUAACGUGGGCAAACGAACGUUCGAGGGAAAUCGACCACGACUUGACAAGUGUGGGCAAAAUUGGCAAGGCAAGCAAGGCAGCCCGAUGAGCGGGCGUGCCGAUGACCGUGUGGGCAAAGAACUGGCAAGUAAUCGGUAAAGGGAAGCAAAAGUGCGGAAAAGGCAAGGCAGAUGGGCUGCCUAGCAACCGGCCGGGCUGUUUGGGCCGUUUGGCGCGCGUUCGCGGGCUCGUUCAAGUUGGGCUUCGGAAAUCAGCCUUGUGGGCGGAUUUGAGGAAGUUACGGAGCGGUUGAGGCCUGGAAAUGCAUAAAAACUGCCCCUUAUUACUUGUAAUAGUUAGCCAAGUGUCAUGUUUGUAUGCUGCCAUGUGUCCUUAGGUAGUUUUGUGUGAAAACUACCUUUUCUUUGUAUUUAUUUGGCUAUGAGUGCACAAAUCCGAGGCAUCUAGUAUCAUCUAGCAUAUGAGAGUUCAGAUUGCAAUUGUUGGGCAAUUCUGAGUGAGGAUUUUGUGUGUGCACCUUAGUCUCCUUUGUAUUUAUUGUGGGAAUUAAUAUAAAGGUUGGGCAUUGCCCGUAAACGUGCUUGUGUGUUUGUUUUCCGCUGCAUACUCUUGUGUUCGUUUACGUUGGCUUGAAAAGACUUGUGUUGUGCGUUUGUGCGAAGAAAAUCGUGAGGAAGGCUGACUGGUUUGGUGGGCAAAUCAGGCCGUACGGUGGGAAAAUUUCGGUGAUAAAUUAACCCCUGUAACAGAAACCUCCCUUGCAUUGUGACAAAGAUGCACCAAACCCCCUUGUGUUGCUAAAUAAUUGCAUAAAAUCCCAUCAAUAAUUAAUUGAGUUAAAAGUUAACGGAAUAGGGAUUUCAUAUAAGAUAAAAUAAAACAUAAAAAGAUUGUACGUAAUAAAAUUAGGGAUAUAGUGCAGAUUUUUCAUAACACAUGGGGGUUUUAUGUUGUUUAAUUACCGAAAUACUAUAUGCGAACUUAAAAAUAUACACAUUUUCAAACAAAGACUAUUGACAGUCAACCAAAAGAAUUGAACUUUUAAGAAAAAGUGUGAAAUCCAAUUGAUCUAAAUCUCAUUUUAUAUAUAUAUAUAUAUAUAUAUAUANNNNNNNNNNNNNNNNNNNNNNNNNNNNNNNNNNNNNNNNNNNNNNNNNNNNNNNNNNNNNNNNNNNNNNNNNNNNNNNNNNNNNNNNNNNNNNNNNNNNUCGAGGCUAUUAGGAUGAUAAGCAUCUCUCAAUCUUUAACUCUAUCUCUUUUUCACAGUUUUUCUUUUUUAUUUAUUUUUUGAAAUUUUGAUUGAGCGUUCUUCAGGGGGACAAGUAUAUAUAUAUAUAUAUAUAUAUAUAUAUAUAUAUAUAUAUAUAUAUAUAUAUAUAUAUAUAUAUAUAUAUAUAUAUAUAUAUAUAUAUAUAUAUAUAUAUAUAUAUAUAUAUAUAUAUAUAUAUAUAUAUAUAUAUAUAUAUAUAUAUAUAUAUAUAUAUAUAUAUAUAUAUAUAUAUAUAUAUAUAUGUUGGUGCUCAGUAUUAAUUCGACAUUGCCCUUCAAGCUUCCCUGCCGAUUGGUAUGAUAUCUCCAGCACUAAAGCUUAAUGUACAAAAUAGAAAUUGAAAGGGUGUUCAAGUGCGUAUUGUAUGUAUUAAUGCAUUUUAUGGUAUGAUAUGAAUAUGAAUUUAAAUGGUUAUAAUUUAAACGGUUAUGUUUUCUUUUUGCAGACAUGCUUCUUUUAUGUUCACGAACCGAAUUGAAUUGAGUUAUACAUAUAACAAUUAGAUAUAUAAUAAUUAUAUUUAAGUAUUAAUUGAGUUACCGAAUUGACCUCCAUAUUUUACAUAUCAAAAGGUUAUUUUUGUCCACACAAAAAAGGGAAGAAACCCCUACCUUAUUCCUCCUUUUAUAGAUAGUAUAGAUUUAUUGCAUUUUGUCGAACUAUUUUUUGGCAUUCCUUGCAUUUUAUGCAAAAUUUCAAAAGGAUAGAAAAAUAUUUUGAAAAUUUCCAUUACAUCCGAAUUUGGAACAAGAGAUUACAAACUAAUGUAAUUUCCAAAAUUUCCGAAAUUCCGUGAUCCAGAGGUACUCCGACAUCGGAAUGAAUUUUUGCAUUCCAAUUUUUUGGAAUGGAAAUUGGAAGGGAUAAUUACCGUAUUGGUCCCCCAAGUUUGCACGUUUUUCACUUUUGGUCCCCCAUUUACCGUCGUCAACAAAAUAUACACUAAUGUUGUCACAUUUAACACAUUUAGUCCCUUUGUCUGUUUGACCGUUAAGAAAUAACCGUCAACGGUUGAAUUUGGGGUUUUUCUUCGAGAAAAUUGCAAUAAGACCCAUGUAUUAUUUCAAAAUAUUCUAAAAACCCCUAAAAUUUUAUCCAACUAUAAUUUAACCCCAAUUUCAUCAAUUAACCAAUUUUAACCAAUGACCCCGAUUUUUCAAACUCGGUUAAUCCGACGUUGACUUUCUUUUUAACUCGGUUGACUCUUUUUUCGAUUGAUCUUUUUUUGCCGUUGUUGACCGAUGUUGAAAGUCGGGUUAUGAUCGUUAAUAUUUUUUUUCUUGAUUUUUAUUUAAAUUGUUGAGUAGUGGGAAAAAUAUAAUUUAAAAAAGAGAGUCAAAUAUGAUAAUCGGCGAGAAAAAUAAUACCAUAAAAGAAGUCAAAAUAAAAGAAAAAGGGAAAAGUCAACGCAACUCAAUGACAGAGGAAUUUUAAGAGAGAAAUUAACGGCCGGUGUUAGCCCCAAAAACAGUUGUACUAGUCAGGGGCGGUACGUGCAAGGGGCAUGGGGGGCUGUUGACCCCCCAAGAAAAAAAAAAUGUUUUUUUUUAUAUUUGGUAUUUAAUUUUUUGAAUAUUAUUUUUGGCUCCCCCAAAGUUUUUGUAAAUAUAUGUCUUAAUCCAUUAUUUUUUUAGUUUCUUCUCCAUAAUCUUAUAUAAAUUAUAGAUAAAUAUAUCAUAUUUAAUAUAAAAUAUAAAAUAAGAUGCUUAAAACUUGUAUUAUUUUAAAUAAAAUUUAUGAAUAUUACUUAUUUUUGAAUUUUUUUUUUGUCAAUGCCUUGAGAUCGUGCCAUGAAUCCCCGAAAUAUUAAAUGCAAUACAUUAUUAAAAUAAUUUGAAUUCACUUAGAAUUUUCUUAUAAUUAUAAUAUCCCCGGAUCCCAAAAUUUUAGUUAGGCCCCCCUACAUUUUGAACCUGGUUCCGCCACUGGUACUAGUGUGGUUAUCUCAUUUCCAAAUUACUCCGCACAUGCCUAAUUCAUCUUCUUCAUAUUUUUUGGAAAGAAAUUUGGGAUGCACUGGCGGUUCCACGAAGAAAAAACGAGGGGAAGAAAUUUUGAAUUUUAGAUUUUUUUUUUAAAUUGUAUUUAGGCCCCUGAAUUUUAGAUAAAAACUUUGUUAGAAGUUUAUAAUUUUAAUAUUACGAUACUAGAUAUUAAUAUAGUAUUAUUAUUGUUUUAUACAGUAAUAAUAUUGUGUUGAUCAGAAAAAAAAAGUCACAGGAAAAAGUUCAAAAAAAAUCAAGAAAAAUAAAAAAAAGUCAACAUUGUUAACCGAGAAUACAAUGUCGGUGAACAACGUCAAAAACGGUAUUUACAAAAAAAAUCAAUGCCGAAACAAAAAGUUCAAAAAAUCAACGACGGGCAGCGGUCAGCGGUAAUGGUGGUAAAAAUCGUGGUAGUUUUUCAAAAUUGAUUAAAUGAUGAAAUUGGGGUUAAAUUAGGGUUGAAUAAUAUUUUAGGGGUUUUUAGAAUAUUUUAAAAGAAUUCAGGGGUCUGAGUGCAAUUUUCUCAAUGAAAAAUCCCAAAUUCAGCCCUAAUUCAACAGUUGACCGUUCGUUACUUCUUGACGGUCAAACGGACAGAUGGACUAAAUGUGUUAAAAUGUGACUAACAUUAAUGUGUAUUUUGUUGACGGCGGUAAAUAGGGGACCAAAAGUAAAAAACGUGCAAACUUGGGGGUCAAAACUGUAAUUAUCCCGAAAUUGGAACCCAUUUUUACCUUUAAAAAAAUUUGAAAAUUUUCCAAAAAAAUCAUUUCUGAUCCAUUAUGUCCGAUUUCUAUGCAUGUACAACCACUAAAUGAGUGGACCAAAAUCAAACCUUCAAUUGCCAGUAUAUAUAUGAAAAGAAACAAUUUUUUGUUUGGAAUGAAAAAUUUAUUCUUAGAGAUGGCGGCCUAUGCAGCUCUACUCUCUCUCAAGCAUAUCAUCGAACAGAUUCAGCUUCAUCCUCGCCCUCCAAUUUCUCUUCACCAAAACCAAGUUGAUUCUCUCACCGACAACCUCAAUUUCUUGCAAGAUUUUCUUGAAGUUUAUUCAUGCGGCGGUGGCAGCAGCAGCAGCAGCACAGAAGCAGCAGAUGUCUUGGAAAACCGCAUUGCAGAUGCAGCUCAUGCGGCAGAAGAUAUAAUCGAAACCCGAAUUGUGGAUCAAAUUCUCGGUGGCGAAAGAAUCAGUUCCGAUGAGUUGUAUCAAGGUCUAGAGAAGUUGAUCCAAGACAUGGGUUUUAUCAAGAAAGAAUUAAUGGAGAAUAAAGAGAAGAAUAUUGGAAUAAUCGAAGAUCAUCUGCACUUAAAUUCUCCCACGCUUGGAGGUUCGUCAAGUUCUCCUUCAACGAGGCAGAACGCCGUGGUUGGUCUUGACGAUCUCUUAAUUGAAGUAAUGGAUAAGCUCACCGGACAACCAUCUAAUCUCCGCAUAAUCCCGAUUGUUGGAAUGGGCGGCAUUGGUAAGACUACUCUUGCUAGAAAUUCUUAUGCUAAGCCACUCAUUAUGCAUCACUUUGAUAUCCGUGCUUGGGUUACAAUAUCUCAAAACUAUAAUGUGCAAGAAAUUCUUAUAGAAAUUCUUCUUUGUAUAAGAAAAGACGAGAGCCGAGAAAUCUUGAGUUCGAAGAAUGAAGGUGAAUUAGGUGAAACAGUACACAAAAAUUUAUGGGGCAGGAGAUAUUUGAUUGUAUUGGACGAUAUUUGGAGUGUUGAGGUAUGGGAUAGAGUGAAUUUUUUCUUUCCUGACAAUGGUCAAGGAAGUAGAAUAGUGAUAACCACUAGGCUAUCAAAUGUUGCUUCGAUUGGCUCUCGUGGACUUGAAAUGAAUUUCCUAGAUGAUGAUAAAAGUUGGGAUCUACUGUGCAAAAAUAUAUUUGAGAAAGAAGAAGACUGCCCUCAUGAAUUGGAGGAAAUCGGAAAGAAGAUUGCAAAAAAUUGCAAAGGACUUCCUUUGUCGAUUGUUGUGAUUGGAGGACUCCUAGCAAAUUCCAAGCAUACAACAGAACAUUGGAAAUAUAUUUCGGAAAAUUUAAACUCGAUUGUACAUUUAGAAGACAACGAGCGUUGCUUAAAAGUAUUGCUUUUGAGUUAUAACCAUUUGCCGGUACACCUCAAGCCAUGUUUUCUGUAUAUGGGAGUUUUUCCCGAAGAUAGGAAAAUCCAUGUCUCCUGGCUCGUAAAAUUAUGGGUUUCCGAAGGAUUUCUGAAACCAAUUAGCGGCAAAAGCUUGGAAGUGGUUUCGAGAGAGUAUUUAGAGGACCUUUGUGACAGAAAUCUCAUUAGAGUUCAUCAAAGAGGGUCUAAUGGGAAAAUAAAAUUUUGCAACAUACAUGAUCUCUUGAGGGAAGUAUGCUUAAGAGAAGCUGAGAGAGAGAAGUUCCUUUACGUCCCAAGAAAGCAUAGCCUCAACAUUGCACAAGGCAUAAAUACGCAACGCCGCAUUAUUAUUCAUCAAAGCGAAUCGGAGACUGGAUAUCUCCUUGACGUCCUGCAAGUGAACAAUACGUUGAUAUCUGUGCCCCUUGCCCGUUCAUUGAUGUGCAAAUUUAUGCUUUUACCAUCACACCCCGGAUCUAAUUAUAGAUUGUUGAGGGUGCUGAAAGUAGUUGAUAAACAUUCAUAUUCUGGCUAUCAUGCGUCAGAUUCCAUAGAAGCUGUUCUUCAGCUAGUUAACUCGAGGUUCCUUGCCAUCGGAGCUGAUUGGCAGAAUUUCAGAUUUCCUUCUUCAGUGUAUCUCCUUUGGAAUCUACAAACUUUAAUCGUUAAGGAUAUGUUUUACGCUGUCGCACCAUCCGAAAUUUGGAAGAUGACUCAACUAAGGCACAUCGAGUUCGGUCUACUUGAUCUGCCUGAUCCUCCUCUUGGUGGUGACGACGACUCUGUCUUGGGGAAUCUACAGACGCUCUUGAAAAUAAGAAAUUUCAAAUGUGGAGAAGAGGUAGUUAAGAGAAUCCCCAACGUCAAGAAAUUACAAAUAUGUUAUCUUGAGGAAUUCGAGGGAUGUUCAAGUUACUCUCUCAAUAAUCUUGUCCGUCUACAUAAACUUGAAUCCUUUAGCUGCUUCUUUUAUUCCCAAAAGAAACCACACCGGAACGAUUUGCUGCGGAACUUGAUCCUCCCGAAUUCCAUCAAGAAGUUGGCUCUGAGGGGGACCAAUCUAUACUGGGACGACAUGAAGACAAAGAUAGGUUUGUUACCCAAUCUUCAAGUACUCAAACUGCAAUAUAAUUCCUUUGUAGGACCCGAGUGGGAAACCGUUGACGGGCAAUUCUGCAACCUAAGAUUCUUGCAAAUCUACACGUGUAGUGAUCUGGAAUGGUGGACAAUGACAGACAGCUCCCACUUUCCACGCCUUGAGCAUCUUGUUCUCUGUAACAUGGAUAAGUUGAACGAGAUGCCGUCGUGUAUUGGAGAAAUACCUACGCUUCAAUCCAUUGAGUUGAAAAAUUGUAGCGACUCAACUAUCAUCUCUACUAGAAGAAUAUUGGAGGAACAAGAGGAACUCGGCAAUGUAGGCCUUCGAGUUCGAGUUAUCUUAUUCAAUCAAGAACACUUGGAGAGCUUGGCUAGUCCCAAUUUUCAAAUUGAAGAAUCUCGGUAAGAACUAGUCUUCAUUGAUUAACAUCAAGCUUCUUUUAUUGCUUUGAUAAAUCAUGAAAGGAUAUAUAGUAUUUCUCUUCCUAGUUUUGUCAAUUAUAAUUUGGGUAAAAUAAAACCAACCCCUGAGGUAUGGUAAAAUUACGAAAACCCCCAUUCUGUUUGGGUAAUUACAACAACCCCUUAACUAUAAAUUUUCUUACACGUCCAUCCUCGCAGUUUCAAAUUUAGUGGAAUCUUCUUGAUUAUAUGGAAUAUUAUCACUUUUGUACCCGUUUUAUCCAAUUCGAGCUCCACAUUUUGAAGCAAGAUGAUCAUAAGAUGUGUUUUUUGACUUGUAUAUAUAUCAGAUUGUGGUGCAUCAGAAACUGUAUAUUUACACACAACGAGUAUAAACUAGAGCACAUUCCACGGAAUCUAGUUGAUUAUGUUGAAUUUGACACCAUAAGGGUGGAGGUGUAAGAAGAUUCAUAGUUGAGGGGUAGAUGUAAUUAUCCAAACAAUAUGAGGUUUUUCGUAAUUUGAUCAUACCUCAGUAGGGUGGUUGUAAUUUACCAUAAUAAUUUGGGCAAAUUACCAAAACCCCCCUGAGGUAAGUCUGAAUAACAAAAAUUCCCCCCACGUUCUCGUAAUUACGAAAACCCCCCUGAGGUAUGCAGACAUCAUACAAAUCGCUCUAACGGUGUUAAACUCGAUAGAAUCUUUUUGAUUCUCCAGAAUAUUCCUCCGAUAAUACCAAUUUUGCCCUUGUACACGAAAUUACCCUUAGGGGGGUAAUUGUAAGCAUUUUAUUUAAUGAGGGGUCAAUAUAUAAGUGUCUGCAAAAUACUUAUUUUUCUUAAAUUAAACCCAAAUAUAAUCAAUCAUUAUGAAUGUACAAUGUAUUUUUAUUGGAUUAAAAAAAUCAAUGAAUGAGAUUUCAAAAUUUAAUUAUUUUUAUAUAUAAAAUUAAAUAUUUUGCAAUUCGAGAAAUACAACCAUCAUUCAAGCUAAAAGCAUAAAUCCGUAUGAACACUCCUCUGGAUAAAUAAAAUCAAUUAAGAUAUAUAAAUAUUAAAAAAUAAAAAAUUUAUAAUAUCAAAUUAUCAAUACAUCUCCCCCAAAGCAGAACUGUAGCCAUGGACGAAAAAUCGUCGUCCAAAAUCACGAUAUCGGAGCUCUCCUUCGCCACCUCAGUGCCUUGGAUUCCCAUCGAGAGUCCCACAUCGGCUUCUUUUAAAGCAGGGGCGUCGUUCGUUCCGUCGCCUGUGACCGCCACCACAUUUUCAGCUUUUUUCUUUUAUUUUCAUAUAUUUAACAGAAGGAAUUACGAGAACGUGGGGGGAUUUUCGUUAUUUAGGCUUACCUCAGGGGGGUUUUGGUAAUUUGUUUUUUUUUUCUUUUAUUUUUCACAUAUUUAACAGAAGGAUAUAAUUGACAUUUCACCUUUUCGGUUAAAAAAAUUCGGUCAACCGUUAGUCAAGGGGGGUUUUCGUAAUUACGAGAACGUGGGGGGGAUUUUCGUUAUUUAGGCUUACCUCAGGGGGGUUUUGGUAAUUUGCCCUAAUAAUUUUGUCAUUUCAAUUUGAUAACAUGGGGUACCACCUUACAGCAGUACACAGUGAGUUAACCUACAUGCGGAACAUAAAUCGGAAAAUGGAGGUCCGGGAGCUGAUCGCUUGUCGAGUUAUCGAGUUCAGAUUGACAAUUUAAUCGAUUAGAUUGUUGUUACGAUUCGGUCCGAACCCGAUCGGUGAAUAAAGUUCCUUUUUUUUUCUUCUCUUAUAUAAAUAUAAAAUCAUAUAAACCCGUAUUUCCGAGAUCUAAAUAAUCAUCAUUUGAAAUAAAAUGCAUACAUAAAAUUGGUGUAUGGGAGAGGACAAGAGAGAUCCUAUCUCCGAUGUGAAGAAGACAUAAUAAUUAAUCACACGAAGCACCUAAAAUGGAGAGUGAAAAUCGGAACUGAAUUUUCAAAUUUCACCAAUUCCAAUCCGAAAAAUUUCAAUUUUCAAACACGAAUUAGAAUUAUUAUUUUACUUUCACAAAAUAAUAAUUUAUAACUGUUUCCAAAAUGCUAGUUUUGAUCCGAUCCAUCCGAUUUCCACCCUUAUCUUUAAAAUAGUUAAUUACUUGUUUUGCAAUAAAAUGGCAAGUUUUCAUAGCAAUUAUUGUCAGCUGAUUUAUGUACCGUUUGAUAGCAAUAAAAUGCAAAUUUUCAUUUUGAUUUUGAAUUCAAAAUAAAAAUCAGUUUGAUUUUGUUUUGAAACAUGAUUGAAAUUAUUUUUCAAUUCCGAAAGAAUUAGAAAACUUAAAAAAAGUGCUAAUUUUGAUCUUAAUUAAUGGUUCGAUCUCCACCUCUAGUUAUACCCCGUGUUGGUUACGAAUGCCCCCGUAUGGGACUACGGAGUUUAUUGCAUUAAGUAUCACUAUGACUAUGUUAUAUGGAAUUCUAAAAAAGCUUUUGCAAACACCAAUUCGAACGUCAAUACCUUAUGGGCGAGGGCACAUCGGAUAAAUUGACUUGAUUGAAGCCUAAUUGUGGCCCAAGAAAGAGUGGACAAAGAAUUGUAUUCCAACUAUACAUACAUAUAUGUGAUCAACAUUCGAUCCGAUGACCUUCAUUAGAUACUAUCACUUUACGUAAUUUCAACUUUCAAGAAAGUGGUUCGAUUCUAAAUCAAGAAUUUAUAAUGGCUAACCUAGCGACCGUUGACAGAAGUAUUUGAAUCUGGUUUAAUUGAUUACUAACACAGGCUCACUUGAUCCAACCGCUAGGUCAUCCUUUGCGGGAAAAAAAGAGAGUAAAUUGUGUGUUUAUUUGGAUAGUUUCAUAAUACAUAUAGUAGAUUAUAAGUCACAUUACGUACGACUUCGUUUUUAUUCUGAGUUAUUAUGAACAUUAUAGUAGAAUGAUAAAUAUCUUAAAUAGUGUCAUUUGAGAAUUAUCUUUUAAAUCAUCUGGUCAAGUGUAAAUAAUUUUAUGCAGAUACAAUCUCAUUUUCGUAACCGCGACCCAAAAAUUAAAAAUAUUGUAGAAUUUGUGGGGAAAUAAUUUUCAUCUUCGAUAUCAAUAAUGUAGAAGGCAAAACCGAUUGGAAAUAACAUGGCUAUAUAUUAAACUCGCGAUUACAAUUUUUUUGACCUUUACAUACAAAGGAACUAACAUUCUCGUUUAUUGUUGUUUUCUUUUUUAUAUUGCGAAUAUAUCGGGAAAAUAUUGUGUAAUAAUCUUGCUUCUUUUUAUAGUGUUUGGUAGCUCGAAGGUCGCCAAGGAUCCCCGUUUGCCAUAUCUUAUGUCAAUACGACCGACCGAAAAAAAUAAAUCAAUAAAAAUAUAUAAAAAUAUAUAAAAAUAUCUAUAGAAAUGUUCUAUUUUCCAACUUGGGAAUCUCAAGCCUUCCAUUUGCUACACAACUUGUGCAAAAUUAUCUGCAUGUCUAUCUCCAGCAAUUUGUCUACAUCUACUUUCUUGAUUUCCUAUUUAUAAAUAAAAUUGAAAAUAAAGUUAUUUAUUUAUUAUGUAUAUGAAAACUUAAUAUAUCAUAUAUGCAAAAAGAAAAUUAAGAUAUUUUGGACUAAAAAUAUGUGUUAUUCUCAUCAUGCAACCCUAAUUAUUGUUAACAUUAAUUUACUUAUUGUUAACAUUAAUUAGGUACAUAUAAUAUUUUCCAGAGCUCAAAUAAAAAAAUAACUUGAUUGGCUUUAUUAAAUUAACUAGCUAGUCAAUCAUAUGAUUGUCAAUUAAAUAUGUAAGUCCACAUUGAAAAAUAAAUAAAUAAAUAAAUAAAAUUAACCCAACAAAUAAGCCAAGAAACAAACGAGGAAAACCUACAAGGGAAUCCAUUAUUUCUCAGAAAUAUCCUCUCUGUGAAUAUUGUGAGGUGAUUGGUCAGAAAAAUAUUCGAGAAUUAAUCUUACCACUUCUGGUUCUGGAGUCGUUUCUAUUGGCUUUAGGAGGAAAAUAUAGUUAAACAUCUAUACAUUAUUACAAUCAGAACUAAUAAAAUUCUAUUAAUUUAACGAAAUAUUAAAUUAUCGAACUAAAUAAUUUAAUAUGUUUUUAUCAAGUCGGGACUAGAAGAAAUUAUUAUUUAAACAAUGUUAUUAAUUUAUCAAUUAUUAAUUUAUCGAGGUUGUUCUGCAGAUGCUUGAACACUGAUUAUUAGCUAGCAUAUUAGAGGCCACAAGUUGUUGGUAGAUUCUCAUAUUCCCUAAUUGCAUCACAUUCUUUAUUCUACAACUUAUAAGUUUUCAACAUAAGCAUACUAUAAAUGCUUGUAAAUAUUCAAAAUGGUAACAAUCCAUCUCAUACUUUUCUGUCACAUAGUAAUUAUGAACUAAUUACUUUCUAAUUAUUGAGGAACUUUUGAAUAUAAUUGAUUAGCAUUUGGUGAUGCUUUGACUAUAGAUUAAUGCUUUGGAUAAUAAUUACAAAACUUCGUUGACCAUUUCAUAUCAUAUUAAUCCAUUAACUUCAUAAUGAGAGGUGGUAGCAUUUUAGAGCUAUUAUUUACUUUACUCCCAAUAAUUUUUUUAUUCUUUUUAAUGAUAUUAUUUACUUUUCUUUUUUCAGUAAAUAUUUUAGCAAUACAGUUAAACCUCUAUAAAUUCAUGCACUUAGGACCAACAUAACCUUAUUAAUUUAGCGAUUGAUGGGUUUCGAUUCUUUUUUUUCCCUUCGUUCCUAUUUAUUCAUGAAAUAACACGAUUAAUAUUUAUACUAUUCUCAUUAAAAUUGUAAAAUAUUUUCUUGAUGCGAUACUUUUAUUUUGCAAAUUAUGCGGUCAACCCGGGUUUUAUAAAAUAAAGAUGAAUUUCAAAUAAUUAACCUCAUGAUAUAUAUUUUUUCUUUCGAAAAUAAGUUAAAUUAGACGAUAAAUUUUUUAUGUAAUUUAAAAGAGUAUUUAAUAAUUUAUAUAGCAUUAAAAUAUGAAAAAAGGUAUAUUUGAAAAUUAUAUGCGAGUAGCAAUAAAGAGAACCUGAUCCACUCGUCAAUUUUUAGUUUGUGAUUGUGACCAUGAAAACGUGUGCGAGCCAUUUGCUGAACCGAGUCACUGAGUUCUCUGACUUUGAAAUUUAACCCAGUCACAAUUCGCGUUUUUUUCGAAUAAACCCUAACCAAAAGCAUAUUUUGCAAUUUUAGUCCCUCAACUAUUGGUUAAAUAUAUUUUCGGUCCAAUAACUUUUGAUGUCCGAUCUCUUAAUGUUAUGAUCAAUUGUAUAACAUUUGUCUAAUUAACCUUUUCUUUUUUUAUUAAAACUAAUAAAAUUGAUUGAACUGCAACCAACCAUAUAUGUGCACUGGGUGAAUAGUACAAUAUUUAGCAAACCACAUGAAAAGCAUAAGACGUGCUUCAUAAUUUAAACUUAGAAAAUGUUGGUAAAUUAAUUUAAAAUCGAACCAUUUAAUUAACAAUAAAUGGUUGGUAAUCAAUACAAAGUUGACUUAAUUAGAUGAUUGUAAUGCAAUGAAAUAAUAAUGCUUGCAUGUUACUAGGGGUGGGAACGAGCCGAGCUCGAGCCGAGCUCGGCUCUUUUGGCCAGCUCGAGCUCGAGCUCGAGUCCAUGUUCCCGAGCUCGAGCUCAUCGAGCCAAUUUUUUUUGGCUCGAGCUCGAGCUCAGGCUUAUUAAUUUUUAUUUAUUUAUUUUUUUUUUUUUUUAUUAUUAUUAUUUAAUUUUUUUAUUAAUUUUUUUUUAUUAGAAAAUAUUCAUAGGAAAAUAAAAAAAAUUAUAAAAAAAAUAAUGAACUCUAGUUAUAUAUAUAUUUUUUUUCUAUUAUUAUUAUUAUUAUUAUUAUUAUUAUUAUUAUUAUUAUUAUUAUUAUUAUUAUUAUUAUUAUAUUUUAUAUAAUUAUGAAUUAUUUAAGUAAUAUAGAUUUGUUUCUAUUUAAAUACUAGAUAUUUUUAUUAUUAUAGAGUAUUUACUAUUUAGUUAAUAAUAAUAAUAAUAAUAAUAAUAAUAAUAAUAAUAAUAAUAAUAAUAAUAAUAAUAAUAAUAAUAAUAAUAAUAAUAAUAAUAAUAAUAAUAAUAAUAAUAAUAAUAAGAAUAAUAUAUAUAUAUGUAAAAAAAAAAAAAAAAAAAAAAAAAAAAUAGAAGGCAGCUCGCGAGCCGGCUCGCGAGCUGUCGAACAACUACUUUUGGGCUCGAGCUCGAGCUCGUCCGAAGCUCGAGCUCGAGCUCGUCCGAAGCUCGAGCUCGAGCUCGAAAAUCCCGAGCUCGAGUUCGAGCUUUUUUCGAGCCGGCUCGUCUAGUUCACAAGCCGGCUCGGCUCGUUUACCACCCCUACAUGUUACACAUAGAUUCUUUCAUGAUAUACAAUCAAAUCUUAAAUUAUUUGAGCUUCAAACCAACAACUAAGUUUAUAAGUACUUACAUCAAUAAAAUACAAAAAGAGAAUCAUUGACAUUACAAUUACUUAUAAUUGUCUCAUCCAAAUGUUUAAUAUCACCUGCCUCUCGGCGAUUAUUUUCACAAUAACAAUGUUAUAAUUUCGACAAUCUCCCAGAUUUUAUACCAAAUGAAACACGAAUGAUGCUGUUGUAGUGUAGAUCUACACAUUUUCCAUCGUAGAGAAUUUACGGUCACUCGAAGUGUAUUAGGUAAACUCUGCCAUCGUGUAAUAGCUCGCGAAUAACACGUAAGAUGCCACUACAUUAACUAAUUCAGAUCAAAUAUCAUUAUAUUUUCUUGCUCCACCAACUAGACGUACACAAAUUGAAUAAUCAACAUUACACUUAUAUAUAAUAAAAUAAUUCCCGAUAAAGUUCAGUUCACGGAUGCAGCAUAGAAUAAACCGAUCUUUCAAACUCUGCACCCUUUUAACAAGACUCGAAAAACUCAAGACCGAAAGUCUAAUUACCAUAUAGUAAAGAGGCCGAAAUUGCAGUUUAAUCCCCCCAAAAAAAAUAUAUUAAAAAAAACUAAAAUAAAAUUCGAAUAUGUGUUAUCAUGUUCCUCAAAUAAUUACAAAAUUCGAUAUUUAAAAAAAAAUAUAAAAAAAACUAAAAGAAAAUAAAAAAAUGAAAACAUGAAGUUCACGUUGUUCCCGUGUUCUGCAGCACGGGGAUUCAUAUUUUAAUUUUUUUUUCCGAAAAUAAAAACUAAAAAGUUUUUUGAGCUUCCCGUUCCACAGAGCACGAAAACUUGAAGAAAGUUCAAGUUUCCGUGCUCUGCAGAACGGGAAGUUCAAAAAACUUGAAUUCUCCGUUCUACAGAGCACGGAUAUUGAAAAAUUACCGGAAUCGAGCCUCGUUUGCUGCGGAUUCAAAGUCGAAAAAAAUUUCCGAAAUUCAAUUGUCUUGAGAGAGUUUGGAAGUAGGAGAGUGAAUUUAAAAAAAAAAAUUAAAUGAAAAAGAUUCCGCUGUAUUUAGUAAAAGCCCCGCUGCAAAUAGAAACACCCGAUUAUUAAUAUUGGCAUUAGAAAAUCAAAAUCUAGUGUAAAAAUAUGGACUCAAAAAAGGAAAUUAAUCCUUCACCUAAUAGUACUUUCACGGUUUGUUUGAUGCUACACCCAGUGAAAUAUACCGGAUGAUUAUUAACCGUUGAUCUGCACACAAUCACACAAACACCCAUGUAUAUGUGUGUUUCACCUAAUAGUACUUUAACCCAUGUAAUUAUCACGUGCCAAUUGAAGGGCAAAAUUGUACUUGCCGUUAAACAUGGCAUUAACUCACCUUUCAAAUUUCAUGACGCAUGACUAGUCAACCAUUGCUGCCUCCAUUUCUGUACACCAUUCAUUUUUUUUCUCUCGCAUUUUUUUAUUAUCCUAAGAUACAUUCAUACUAUAGUACUACAAAGGACUCAAGAUGGAGUGAUUCUUGAUUCUUCUUGAUUCUCAACCUCAAGAAUUGUUCUGAAAACCAAUUCGAUUUUCGGGAGAGAGAGAGAUGGCGGCGUACGCAGCUCUACUUUCUCUCAGGCAUAUCAUCGAACAGCUUCAGCAUCACCCUUCCCCUCCAAUUUUUAUUCACCAAAACCAGGUGGAAUCUCUCACCGACAACCUCAAUUUCUUGCAAGAGUUUCUUGAGCAGGGAUAUCCUUGUGUUGGCAUCAGCAAAGGAGCAAUUGAUGUUUUUGAAAGUCGAAUUGCAGAUGCAGCUCAUGCAGCCGAAGAUAUAAUCGAAACCCGUGUUGUUGAUCAAAUUCUUACUGAAUCGACGGCUCAAGCGUCGAAAGAUAUAAACGAAACCUGGGUUGGUGAUCAAAUCCUUGGUGGAUCAAGAAAAACGAAGAAUACUAGAAUGCAAGAUCGUCUGCGCAGGAUUUUGUCCACUUUUUGUGGUGCUGGUUCAUCAAGAUCUCCUUCAACGAGGCAGAAUGUCGUAGCUGGUUUAGAUCUCGAUAAGGUGAUCCAAGACAUGGGUUUAAUCAAGAAAGAUGUGAUGGAGAUUAAAGAUAAUAAUAUUGGAAUAAUCGAAGAUCACCUGCACAAAAAUUCUUCAACUCUUGCUGGUGCUGCUUCAUCAAGGUCUCAUUUAACAACGAAGCAUGAAACCAUGGUUGGUUUUGAUGAGCUCUUAAUUGAAGUAAUGGAUAAGCUCAUUGGACAACACUCUAAUCUCUGCAUAAUCCCGAUUGUUGGAAUGGGCGGCAUUGGUAAGACUACUCUUGCUAGAAAUGCCUACGUUAAGUUUAUAAAGCACUUUGAUAUUCGAGCUUGGGUUACAGUAUCUCAAAAUUACAAUGUGCGAGAAAUUCUUAUAGAAAUUCUUCUUUGUAUAAACAAAGCUGAGAAACGAGAAACCUUGAGUGCGAAGAAUGAGGGUGAAUUAGGUGUAAAAGUACACCAAAGUUUAUGGG